GGGGCUGUAGUAUAGCGGGAAUACGCGUCGUUCGCAACGACGAGUCGGGGGUUCAAUUCCCCCCAGCUCCACCA
RNAcentral lists this transfer RNA (74 nucleotides) under Candidatus Omnitrophota bacterium. Its description in RNAcentral is "tRNA-Ala". It matches the Rfam family "tRNA". From Rfam's summary of the family: Transfer RNA (tRNA) molecules are approximately 80 nucleotides in length. Their secondary structure includes four short double-helical elements and three loops (D, anti-codon, and T loops). Further hydrogen bonds mediate the characteristic L-shaped molecular structure. tRNAs have two regions of fundamental functional importance: the anti-codon, which is responsible for specific mRNA codon recognition, and the 3' end, to which the tRNAs corresponding amino acid is attached (by aminoacyl-tRNA synthetases). tRNAs cope with the degeneracy of the genetic code in two manners: having more than one tRNA (with a specific anti-codon) for a particular amino acid; and 'wobble' base-pairing, i.e. permitting non-standard base-pairing at the 3rd anti-codon position. Lineage: Bacteria; Pseudomonadati; Candidatus Omnitrophota. The record is from RNAcentral.